RNAcentral lists this small RNA (83 nucleotides) under Marmota monax (woodchuck). The record is from RNAcentral. Lineage: Eukaryota; Metazoa; Chordata; Mammalia; Rodentia; Sciuridae.
GCUGGGCGCAGUGGUGCACACCUGUAAUCCCAGCAGCUUGGGAGGCUGAGGCAGGAGGGUUGAGAGUUCAAAGCCAGCCUCAG